RNAcentral lists this long non-coding RNA (267 nucleotides) under Oryza sativa Indica Group (long-grained rice). RNAcentral describes it as "lncRNA OsGoSa_06g0022050". Lineage: Eukaryota; Viridiplantae; Streptophyta; Magnoliopsida; Poales; Poaceae. The record is from RNAcentral. RNAcentral also lists the same sequence under 2 other names.
AUGGCUUCCUGGAUGUGCCGCAUGGCUGAUCAGGCGAGGUCGGUGGCAUCACUAGUAGCAAGCAUCAAUAGUCCUCGCCACCGUCGUUGUGCUGUGGCACAACUCGCGGACGCCAACCUCAUUCUAGAUCUGGCGAUGGAAGUGGUGUGGGCGACGACGAGCUCACGGAUGCCAAUGCCAAAUUUGUUGGCGAGCUCCAUCCGUGGAGCCACUCUCCCCCUCCCCCCCAACCCUGAAUGCCCGAAGCUCCGCACCCUUCCGUUGCCG